RNAcentral lists this ribosomal RNA (253 nucleotides) under uncultured bacterium. RNAcentral's name for it is "partial 16S ribosomal RNA". It matches the Rfam family "Bacterial small subunit ribosomal RNA", at positions 524 to 776 of the family's 1533-position model. The record is from RNAcentral.
UACGAAGGUCCCAAGCGUUAUCCGGAUUUAUUGGGUUUAAAGGGUGCGUAGGCGGGCUAUUAAGUCAGUGGUGAAAUCUCCGAGCCUAACUCGGAAAUUGCCAUUGAUACUGAUGGUCUUGAGUACAUUUGAAGUGGGCGGAAUGUGUCAUGUAGCGGUGAAAUGCUUAGAUAUGACACAGAACACCGAUUGCGUAGGCAGCUCACUAAACUGUAACUGACGCUGAGGCACGAAAGCGUGGGGAGCAAACAGG